This 253-nucleotide ribosomal RNA is filed under the name uncultured bacterium. RNAcentral's name for it is "partial 16S ribosomal RNA". It matches the Rfam family "Bacterial small subunit ribosomal RNA", at positions 524 to 776 of the family's 1533-position model. The record is from RNAcentral.
UACGAAGGGUGCAACCGUUGCUCGGAAUUAUUGGGCGUAAAGCGCACGUAGGCGGCAUUGCAAGUCGGAUGUGAAAUCCCUCGGCUCAACCAAGGAAGUGCAUCCGAAACUGCAGUGCUUGAGUACUUAAGAGGAUCGCGGAAUUCCCGGUGUAGAGGUGAAAUUCGUAGAUAUCGGGAGGAACACCAGUGGCGAAGGCGGCGAUCUGGGAAGAUACUGACGCUGAGGUGCGAAAGCGUGGGGAGCAAACAGG